This is a long non-coding RNA of Osmerus eperlanus (European smelt), 319 nucleotides long. RefSeq lists it as uncharacterized. The record is from RefSeq and is a predicted model, not a curated record. Lineage: Eukaryota; Metazoa; Chordata; Actinopteri; Osmeriformes; Osmeridae. The transcript is spliced from 3 exons.
CACCAUUUUUUUUUAUCAGUGAAGCACAACCAUGAUAACUACGCAGUGUGAGUCGAGGGAGUAGGGAGGAUCAUGUGGACAGGUUAGUGGACGCACGCCUGGCUGGAACCUGGAAUGUGGGCACAGGUGUGCUUCACAGAGCUAUCCAUCUAGGUGCAGCAGAUGCCCUGUGUACAAACACUAGGGUCAGAUGCUGGGACAUCUGGACUCCUGUCCAGAGAGAGGGAAGGGGCAGAACUAUAUUAACUAUACAGUAUGUACUUAUCAAAAGAUACCUAUAAAGGCUACUCAAUCCUAUGAUACACAGAUUACAGUGCAU